Molecule: transfer RNA, 83 nt
Filed under: bacterium
Lineage: Bacteria
Also listed under: 1 other name
Description: tRNA-Leu
Rfam family: tRNA
About the family: Transfer RNA (tRNA) molecules are approximately 80 nucleotides in length. Their secondary structure includes four short double-helical elements and three loops (D, anti-codon, and T loops). Further hydrogen bonds mediate the characteristic L-shaped molecular structure. tRNAs have two regions of fundamental functional importance: the anti-codon, which is responsible for specific mRNA codon recognition, and the 3' end, to which the tRNAs corresponding amino acid is attached (by aminoacyl-tRNA synthetases). tRNAs cope with the degeneracy of the genetic code in two manners: having more than one tRNA (with a specific anti-codon) for a particular amino acid; and 'wobble' base-pairing, i.e. permitting non-standard base-pairing at the 3rd anti-codon position.
Source: RNAcentral
GGGUAAGUGGCCGAGCUUGGUUAAAGGCGUACGACUUAAGAUCGUAUCCAUUUGGUUCGUCGGUUCAAAUCCGACCUUAUCCA